Molecule: ribosomal RNA, 253 nt
Filed under: uncultured bacterium
Lineage: Bacteria
Description: partial 16S ribosomal RNA
Rfam family: Bacterial small subunit ribosomal RNA
Source: RNAcentral
UACAGAGGGUGCGAGCGUUGUCCGGAAUCACUGGGCGUAAAGGGCGCGUAGGCGGCGCGGUAAGCGUGCGGUGAAAGCCCGGGGCUCAACCCCGGGUCGGCCGUGCGGACUGCCGGGCUGGAGCACUGUAGAGGCAGGUGGAAUUCCGGGUGUAGCGGUGGAAUGCGUAGAGAUCCGGAAGAACACCGAUGGCGAAGGCAGCCCCCUGGGCUAACACUGACGCUCAUGCACGAAAGCGUGGGGAGCAAACAGG